UCCAGACUCCUACGGGAGGCAGCAGUGAGGAAUAUUGGUCAAUGGGCGUAAGCCUGAACCAGCCAAGUCGCGUGAGGGACGACGGCCCUACGGGUUGUAAAUCUCUUUUGCCGGGGGACAAACGGCGGCACGCGUGCCGUCCUGAGGGUACCCGGAGAAAAAGCAUCGGCUAACUCCGUGCCAGCAGCCGCGGUAAUACGGAGGAUGCGAGCGUUAUCCGGAUUUAUUGGGUUUAAAGGGUGCGUAGGCGGGAUGCCAAGUCAGCGGUAAAAAUGCGGUGCUCAACGCCGUCGAGCCGUUGAAACUGGCGUUCUUGAGUGGGCGAGAAGUAUGCGGAAUGCGUGGUGUAGCGGUGAAAUGCGUAGAUAUCACGCAGAACUCCGAUUGCGAAGGCAGCAUACCGGCGCCCUACUGACGCUGAGGCACGAAAGCGUGGGUAUCGAACAGGAUUAGAUACCCUAGUAA
Molecule: ribosomal RNA, 465 nt
Filed under: uncultured bacterium
Lineage: Bacteria
Description: bacterial SSU rRNA
Rfam family: Bacterial small subunit ribosomal RNA
Source: RNAcentral